AAUGAUGCGUGAGGGAUCGUAGUGUAAAACCCAUAGGCAAGCGAUAGCAUGCCAAGGACUUGAAGCGGAUAGCCCGACCCGAC
RNAcentral lists this small RNA (83 nucleotides) under Leeuwenhoekiella polynyae. RNAcentral's name for it is "Flavo-1 RNA". The record is from RNAcentral. Lineage: Bacteria; Pseudomonadati; Bacteroidota; Flavobacteriia; Flavobacteriales; Flavobacteriaceae.